This 468-nucleotide ribosomal RNA is filed under the name uncultured bacterium. RNAcentral's name for it is "partial 16S ribosomal RNA". It matches the Rfam family "Bacterial small subunit ribosomal RNA", at positions 28 to 507 of the family's 1533-position model. The record is from RNAcentral.
GACGAACGCUGGCGGCGUGCUUAACACAUGCAAGUCGAACGGAAAGGCCCUGCUUUUGUGGGGUGCUCUAGUGGCGAACGGGUGAGUAACACGUGAGUAACCUGCCCUUGACUUUGGGAUAACUUCAGGAAACUGGGGCUAAUACCGGAUAGGAGCUCCUGCUGCAUGGUGGGGGUUGGAAAGUUUCGGCGGUUGGGGAUGGACUCGCGGCUUAUCAGCUUGUUGGUGGGGUAGUGGCUUACCAAGGCUUUGACGGGUAGCCGGCCUGAGAGGGUGACCGGCCACAUUGGGACUGAGAUACGGACCAGACUCCUACGGGAGGAAGCAGUGGGGAAUAUUGCACAAUGGGCGGAAGCCUGAUGCAGCAACGCCGCGUGCGGGAUGACGGCCUUCGGGUUGUAAACCGCUUUCGCCUGUGACGAAGCGUGAGUGACGGUAAUGGGUAAAGAAGCACCGGCUAACUACGUG